UACGUAGGGUGCGAGCGUUGUCCGGAAUUAUUGGGCGUAAAGGGCUCGUAGGCGGUUUGUCGCGUCGGGAGUGAAAACACCGGGCUUAACUCGGUGCUGGCUUUCGAUACGGGCAGACUAGAGGUAUUCAGGGGAGAACGGAAUUCCUGGUGUAGCGGUGAAAUGCGCAGAUAUUAGGAGGAACACCGGUGGCGAAGGCGGUUCUCUGGGAAUGUCCUGACGCUGAGGAGCGAAAGUGUGGGGAGCGAACAGG
Molecule: ribosomal RNA, 253 nt
Filed under: uncultured bacterium
Lineage: Bacteria
Description: partial 16S ribosomal RNA
Rfam family: Bacterial small subunit ribosomal RNA
Source: RNAcentral